This 425-nucleotide ribosomal RNA is filed under the name uncultured bacterium. RNAcentral describes it as "partial 16S ribosomal RNA". It matches the Rfam family "Bacterial small subunit ribosomal RNA", at positions 354 to 796 of the family's 1533-position model. The record is from RNAcentral.
GUUAGGAAUAUUGGACAAUGGGCGCAAGCCUGGUCCAGCCAUGCCGCGUGAGUGAUGAAGGCCUUCGGGUUGUAAAGCUCUUUAGCCGAUGAUUAUAAUGACUGUAGUCGGAAAAUAAGCCCCGGCUAACUUCGUGCCAGCAGCCGCGGUAAUACGAAGGGGGCGAGCGUUAUUCGGAAUCACUGGGCGUAAAGCGUGCGUAGGCGGCUUUGCAAGUUGGGAGUGAAAGCCCAGGGCUCAACCCUGGAAUUGCUCUCAAAACUGCAAGGCUCGAAUUCGGGAGAGGAUAGCGGAAUUGUCAGUGUAGCAGUGAAAUGCGUAGAUAUUGACAGGAACACCAGUGGCGUAAGCGGCUAUCUGGACCGAUAUUGACGCUGAGGCACGAAAGCGUGGGGAUCAAACAGGAUUAGAAACCCGGGUAGUCC